RNAcentral lists this ribosomal RNA (266 nucleotides) under uncultured bacterium. RNAcentral describes it as "partial 16S ribosomal RNA". It matches the Rfam family "Bacterial small subunit ribosomal RNA", at positions 91 to 353 of the family's 1533-position model. The record is from RNAcentral.
CUUAGUGGCGAACGGGUGAGUAACGCGUGAGUAACCUGCCCUGGAGUGGGGGACAACAGUUGGAAACGACUGCUAAUACCGCAUAAGCCCACGGAUCCGCAUGGAUCUGCGGGAAAAGGAUUUAUUCGCUUCAGGAUGGACUCGCGUCCAAUUAGCUAGUUGGUGAGGUAACGGCCCACCAAGGCGACGAUUGGUAGCCGGCCUGAGAGGGUGAACGGCCACAUUGGGACUGAGACACGGCCCAAACUCCUACGGGAGGCAGCAUG